UACGUAGGGUGCGAGCGUUGUCCGGAAUUAUUGGGCGUAAAGAGCUCGUAGGCGGUUUGUCACGUCUGCUGUGAAAUCCCGAGGCUCAACCUCGGGCCUGCAGUGGGUACGGGCAGACUGGAGUCCGGAAGAGGAGUGUGGAAUUCCUGGUGUAGCGGUGAAAUGCGCAGAUAUCAGGAAGAACACCUAUGGCGAAGGCAGCACUCUGGGACGGUACUGACGCUGAGACGCGAAAGCGUGGGGAGCGAACAGG
RNAcentral lists this ribosomal RNA (253 nucleotides) under uncultured bacterium. Its description in RNAcentral is "partial 16S ribosomal RNA". It matches the Rfam family "Bacterial small subunit ribosomal RNA", at positions 524 to 776 of the family's 1533-position model. The record is from RNAcentral.